This 645-nucleotide ribosomal RNA is filed under the name mycorrhizal fungal sp. pkc01e. Its description in RNAcentral is "eukaryotic LSU rRNA". It matches the Rfam family "Eukaryotic large subunit ribosomal RNA", at positions 1 to 659 of the family's 3401-position model. The record is from RNAcentral. Lineage: Eukaryota; Fungi.
UUGACCUCGGAUCAGGUAGGGAUACCCGCUGAACUUAAGCAUAUCAAUAAGCGGAGGAAAAGAAACCAACAGGGAUUGCCUCAGUAACGGCGAGUGAAGCGGCAACAGCUCAAAUUUGAAAUCUGGCUCUUUCAGGGUCCGAGUUGUAAUUUGUAGAGGAUGCUUCGGGUGUGGCUCCGGUCUAAGUUCCUUGGAACAGGACGUCAUAGAGGGUGAGAAUCCCGUAUGUGACUGGUUGCCUAUGCUCAUGUGAAGCUCCUUCGACGAGUCGAGUUGUUUGGGAAUGCAGCUCAAAAUGGGUGGUAAAUUUCAUCUAAAGCUAAAUAUUGGCCAGAGACCGAUAGCGCACAAGUAGAGUGAUCGAAAGAUGAAAAGCACUUUGGAAAGAGAGUUAAACAGUACGUGAAAUUGUUGAAAGGGAAGCGCUUGCAACCAGACUUGCACGUAGUUAAUCAACCGGUGUUCUCACUGGUGCACUUGAUUACGUUCAGGCCAGCAUCGGUUUCGGUGGUUGGAUAAAGGCCGGGGGAAUGUGGCUUCUUUCGGGGAGUGUUAUAGCCCUCGGUGCAAUGCAGCCUACCGGGACCGAGGACCGCGCUUCGGCUAGGAUGCUGGCGUAAUGGUUGUAAGCGACCCGUCUUGAAA